RNAcentral lists this ribosomal RNA (253 nucleotides) under uncultured bacterium. RNAcentral's name for it is "partial 16S ribosomal RNA". It matches the Rfam family "Bacterial small subunit ribosomal RNA", at positions 524 to 776 of the family's 1533-position model. The record is from RNAcentral.
UACAGAGGUCCCAAGCGUUGUUCGGAUUCACUGGGCGUAAAGGGUGCGUAGGUGGCGGGGUAAGUCUGAUGUGAAAGCUUCGAGCUCAACUCGAAAAUGGCAUUGGAUACUAUUCUGCUAGAGGGUUGGAGGGGGGACUGGAAUUCUCGGUGUAGCAGUGAAAUGCGUAGAUAUCGAGAGGAACACCGGUGGCGAAGGCGAGUCCCUGGACAACACCUGAUACUGAGGCACGAAAGCUAGGGGAGCAAACAGG